Molecule: unclassified non-coding RNA, 282 nt
Filed under: uncultured Cortinarius
Lineage: Eukaryota; Fungi; Basidiomycota; Agaricomycetes; Agaricales; Cortinariaceae
Description: sequence contains ITS2
Rfam family: 5.8S ribosomal RNA (bases 1-52)
Source: RNAcentral
AACGCACCUUGCGCUCCUUGGUAUUCCGAGGAGCAUGCCUGUUUGAGUGUCAUUAAUAUAAUCAACCUUCAACUUGUUUGAGUGGUUUGGAUGUGGGGGUUUGCUGGCCUCUCAAAAGGUUUCAGCUCCUCUGAAAUGCAUUAGCAGAACAAACCUUGUUCAUUGGUGUGAUAACUAUCUACGCUAUUGAAUGUGAAGGGCAGUUUGGCUUUCUAACAGUCCUUGGACAAAGCUCAUCAUUAAUGUGACCUCAAAUCAGGUAGGACUACCCGCUGAACUUAA